AAAGAACCCCGGCGAGGGGAGUGAAAAAGAACCUGAAACCGUGUACGUACAAGCAGUGGGAGCACCCUUUGGGGUGUGACUGCGUACCUUUUGUAUAAUGGGUCAGCGACUUAUAUUCUGUAGCAAGGUUAACCGUAUAGGGGAGCCGGAGGGAAACCGAGUCUUAAUUGGGCGUUAAGUUGCAGGGUAUAGACCCGAAACCCGGUGAUCUAGCCAUGGGCAGGUUGAAGGUUGGGUAACACUAACUGGAGGACCGAACCGACUAAUGUUGAAAAAUUAGCGGAUGACCUGUGGCUGGGGGUGAAAGGCCAAUCAAACCGGGAGAUAGCUGGUUCUCCCCGAAAGCUAUUUAGGUAGCGCCUCGUGAAUUCAUCUCCGGGGGUAGAGCACUGUUUCGGCUAGGGGGCCAUCCCGGCUUACCAACCCGAUGCAAACUGCGAAUACCGGAGAAUGUUAUCACGGGAGACACACGGCGGGUGCUAACGUCCGUCGUGAAGAGGGAAACAACCCAGACCGCCAGCUAAGGUCCCAAAGUCAUGGUUAAGUGGGAAACGAUGUGGGAAGGCCCAGACAGCCAGGAUGUUGGCUUAGAAGCAGCCAUCAUUUAAAGAAAGCGUAAUAGCUCACUGGUCGAGUCGGCCUGCGCGGAAGAUGUAACGGGGCUAAACCAU
Molecule: ribosomal RNA, 671 nt
Filed under: Salmonella enterica subsp. enterica serovar Muenster
Lineage: Bacteria; Pseudomonadati; Pseudomonadota; Gammaproteobacteria; Enterobacterales; Enterobacteriaceae
Description: partial 23S ribosomal RNA
Rfam family: Bacterial large subunit ribosomal RNA
Source: RNAcentral